Molecule: ribosomal RNA, 1380 nt
Filed under: uncultured bacterium
Lineage: Bacteria
Description: partial 16S ribosomal RNA
Rfam family: Bacterial small subunit ribosomal RNA
Source: RNAcentral
GCCCUUAGAGUUUGAUCCUGGCUCAGGAUGAACGCUGGCGGCGUGCCUAACACAUGCAAGUCGAACGAGAACUCCUGAAUUGAGACUUCGGUUGAUUUUUAGGAAAUUCUAGUGGCGGACGGGUGAGUAACGCGUAGGCAACCUGCCCUUUACACAGGGAUAGCCACUGGAAACGGUGAUUAAAACCUGAUGAUACCAUUGUUUCACAUGUUAUGAUGGUCAAAGAUUUAUCGGUAAAGGAUGGGCCUGCGUCAGAUUAGCUAGUUGGUGAGGUAACGGCCCACCAAGGCAACGAUCUGUAGCCGACCUGAGAGGGUGAUCGGCCACAUUGGAACUGAGACACGGUCCAAACUCCUACGGGAGGCAGCAGUAGGGAAUAUUGCACAAUGGAGGAAACUCUGAUGCAGCAAUGCCGCGUGAAGGAUGAAGGUCUUCGGAUCGUAAACUUCUGUCCUUAGGGAAGAUAAUGACGGUACCUUUGGAGGAAGCCCCGGCUAACUACGUGCCAGCAGCCGCGGUAAUACGUAGGGGGCAAGCGUUAUCCGGAAUUAUUGGGCGUAAAGAGUGCGUAGGUGGUUUCCUAAGCAUAGGGUGAAAGGCAUUGGCUUAACCAAUGUUAGCCCUUUGAACUGGGUUACUUGAGUGCAGAAGGGGAGAGUGGAAUUCCAUGUGUAGCGGUGAAAUGCGUAGAUAUAUGGAAGAACACCAGUGGCGAAGGCGGUUCACUAGCUCGAAACUGACGCUCAGUCCCGAAAGCGUGGGUAGCAAAUAGGAUUAGAUACCCUAGUAGUCCACGCCGUAAACGAUGAGAACUAAAUAUUGCCGCGAGGCAGUGUUGAAGCUAACGCAUUAAGUUCUCCGCCUGGGGAGUACGAUCGCAAGAUUGAAACUUAAAGGAAUUGACGGGGACCCGCACAAGCAGUGGAGCAUGUGGUUUAAUUCGACGCAACGCGAAGAACCUUACCAGGGCUUGACAUGGAGGCUAAAUACUUAGAGAUAAGGAAAUAUACGCCUCACACAGGUGGUGCAUGGUUGUCGUCAGCUCGUGUCGUGAGAUGUUGGGUUAAGUCCCGCAACGAGCGCAACCCCUAUCCUUAGUUGCCAUCAUUCAGUUGGGAACUCUAGGGAUACUGCCGAUGUAAGUCGGAGGAAGGUGGGGAUGACGUCAAAUCAUCAUGCCCUUUAUGUCCUGGGCGACACACGUGCUACAAUGGCGAUCAACAAAGGGAAGCAAAGCCGCGAGGUGGAGCAAAUCCCCAAAAGUCGUCUCAGUUCGGACUGCAGUCUGCAACUCGACUGCACGAAGUCGGAAUUGCUAGUAAUCGUGGAUCAGCAUGCCACGGUGAAUACGUUCCCGGGCCUUGCACUCACCGCCCGUCA